This 433-nucleotide ribosomal RNA is filed under the name uncultured bacterium. RNAcentral describes it as "partial 16S ribosomal RNA". It matches the Rfam family "Bacterial small subunit ribosomal RNA", at positions 29 to 507 of the family's 1533-position model. The record is from RNAcentral.
AACGAACGCUGGCGGCAGGCCUAACACAUGCAAGUCGAGCGCGCCCUUCGGGGUGAGCGGCGGACGGGUGAGUAACGCGUGGGAACGUGCCCUUUUCUACGGAAUAGCCUCGGGAAACUGAGAGUAAUACCGUAUACGCCCUUUGGGGGAAAGAUUUAUCGGAAAAGGAUCGGCCCGCGUUGGAUUAGGUAGUUGGUGGGGUAAUGGCCUACCAAGCCGACGAUCCAUAGCUGGUUUGAGAGGAUGAUCAGCCACACUGGGACUGAGACACGGCCCAUACUCCUACGGGAGGCAGCAGUGGGGAAUCUUAGACAAUGGGGGCAACCCUGAUCUAGCCAUGCCGCGUGAGUGAUGAAGGCCUUAGGGUUGUAAAGCUCUUUCAGCUGGGAAGAUAAUGACGGUACCAGCAGAAGAAGCCCCGGCUAACUCCGUG